This 1500-nucleotide ribosomal RNA is filed under the name Triticum aestivum (bread wheat). Its description in RNAcentral is "partial small subunit ribosomal RNA". Lineage: Eukaryota; Viridiplantae; Streptophyta; Magnoliopsida; Poales; Poaceae. The record is from RNAcentral.
AUGCGGAGGCGCAUGACAUCACGCGUCCUCGGUUCCUUCCUCUGGCUGGCCUAUGUGUCGGCCGACUCCGUGGCCAUCUUCAUCCUCGGCCAUCUCGCUGUCCGUUCACGGCACGAGCUCAUUGUCUUCUGGGCGCCAUUCUUGCUUGUCCAUCUGGGCGGGCAGGACACCAUCACUGCCCUCUCCAUGCAGGACAACGAGUUGUGGAAGCGCCACCUCUUGGGCCUCAUCUCCCAGGUAGCGGUGGCUGGCUAUGUCGUGUCCAAGUCGUCUUGGACGGACAUGCAUUUGUUGGCUGCUACUGUGCUUGUUUUCCUCUCUGGGAGCCUCAAGUACGCCGGCCGUACCUACUGCCUUUACUCAGCAAGCCCAACAAAUCUCAAGGUUGAGUCCCUGCACAGGUUGUCAAAUAGGCUAACCAUGCUCGAGUCAACAGCUGCACAAGUAGGAGGAUAUGCAGGAACAUCAAGAGAGGAUGCCAUUGGGUUGUUGGGUGCCAAAUUUGAUUUGAUGCUUGGUGAGACGAAUAAGAGAUUGUUUCUAAAGGAUGAUAAUGCUACAGAAAUCAUGUCAGUGGAUGCUCCUCUCAUUGAAAUGGGAAGCGUUUUAGCAGUAAAUGAGCUGCCAGGGAUGCUAGGGAUGAUUAAAUCAAGCAGCCUGCACGGGCCCUAUGAGUAUGUGGGCAGACAACUGGCAAAAUGUUAUGAGCAGUUCUACACAAAAAAACCACUUUUACGUUUCUGUAAGAUAGGUGGCAUUAUUAUUUUUACGGGUCGUACAAGUUUCGGUGUUGCAAACCAGUAUCAUUGGGUGAGCGUUCUCUGGUUGGUAGCCUCAUUGUUCCAGUAUCUUUCAACCCCGAUAGCCCUAGUGCUGUUCAUCCUCGCUGAAAAGGGGCACCCAAUCAAUAAUAGAGUUGAUGUCACCGUGUCCUACAUAUUGCUCAUCGGAGCCAUCAUCCUAGAUGUGUCAUCUGCCUCCAUGUCCAUUCUUUCAUCUGCGAGGUCUGUCCAUUUCCGAGGUAUGGAUUUGAUUAAAGGGGUGAUCUUGACUUUGGCUAACUACAUUCAGCCAGCAUGGAGCAGAAAACAAUGGUCAGAGAAGUUAGCGCAAUAUAACAUGCUCAAGAGUUCUAUGGAAGAUGCUAGAGCCAUGCCAUGUGGGCGUCAAUGGAUCAGCAAGCAUUUGAGAUCCUGGAGUGUUGAGCUAUUGGAUCCAAGCCUAACAUACACAGAGGUCUCCGAAAAUCUCAAGGGGUUUGUCCUCAGUAAUUUGCUAAACUUUGGAACCAGGAGGCAAUAUAAUUAUGCCAAUUUCCGUGGCCAGCUAGCACUUCAAGAGUGGUGCGGCAAUAGACCGAUGACGAUGGCUCUGCGUCAUAGCAUCAAUGAUAUGAGUGAUUUGAUUUCCCCAGAAGCGUCCUCAUCUGGCACAUUGCAACAGACAUCUGCUACUACCAUGAAAAUUCGACCAUUCACGGCUCCUCGGAUAAGAAGCUGA